GACGAACGCUGGCGGCGUGCUUAACACAUGCAAGUCGAACGCUGAAGCUCAGCUUGCUGGGUGGAUGAGUGGCGAACGGGUGAGUAACACGUGAGUAACCUGCCCUCUUCUUUGGGAUAACGCCCGGAAACGGGUGCUAAUACUGGAUAUUCACUGAUUCUCGCAUGGGGGUUGGUGGAAAGGUUUUUUCUGGUGGGGGAUGGGCUCGCGGCCUAUCAGCUUGUUGGUGGGGUGAUGGCCUACCAAGGCUUUGACGGGUAGCCGGCCUGAGAGGGUGACCGGUCACAUUGGGACUGGGAUACGGCCCAGACUCCUGCGGGAGGCAGCAGUGGGGCAUAUUGCACCAUGGGCGAAAGCCUGAUGCAGCGACGCCGCGUGAGGGAUGGAGGCCUUCGGGUUGUAAACCUCUUUCGCUCAUGGUCAAGCCGCAGCUUUGGGUUGUGGUGAGGGUAGUGGGUAAAGAAGCGCCGGCUAACUACGUG
This 482-nucleotide ribosomal RNA is filed under the name uncultured bacterium. Its description in RNAcentral is "partial 16S ribosomal RNA". It matches the Rfam family "Bacterial small subunit ribosomal RNA", at positions 28 to 507 of the family's 1533-position model. The record is from RNAcentral.